This 658-nucleotide long non-coding RNA is filed under the name Phaseolus vulgaris (common bean). Its description in RNAcentral is "long non-coding RNA (PVUL_LNC003594)". The record is from RNAcentral. Lineage: Eukaryota; Viridiplantae; Streptophyta; Magnoliopsida; Fabales; Fabaceae.
AAGCCUAUGCCACGUGUUAAUUGAUACUACAUACAAGAAUCUCCCUUUUAACAUUGUUCCAAUAGGAAUCAAACUAGUGACUUUAACUUUGAUACUAAUUGUUGAAAUGAGCACUUACCAUUGGAUAAAAAACUAUAGCUAAUAGUCAGAGUACAACUCUUCUACUUAAGAGCGUAACAACCCAAACACCACAAAUUGAUUGUGACCUGGUGAUGUGAGUUGAUUUUAGGAUUGCACAUUUUAAUUGGUUGCUCUUGUUUAUGAUUUUGAGAUUAGAAAUUUAAGGUGAGAACCCUAAAAAGACCCCCACUGGACAUGAACUUAACCAAGUAGUUAAGUAAGUGUGAAGGUUCACCAAGGGAAAAGAGUAAAACACAAGAAUAAGGUGAUUAUGAUGCAAGGGGUGGAAUUUAAGAACAAUGGAAAUAAAGGAUGAAUGAAGGUGACCAAAAGGAAAUGACAUAAACAAGAACAUAAGCAAAUAACAUAAAUGGCACAAGGAAGGAUGGAAAAAGAGAUGAGGUAAAGGAAGCUUAUGGUGACAAUGGUGAAGAUGAACACGCCACUUGGAGGGUGGGGACUCCAAGAUAAGUGAGGAAGAGUCGCCACUUGAAAUGCUCACACACUCAAGAUAAUACCUAAAAUAUUUAGGAGACAA